AUUGAACGCUGGCGGCAUGCCUUACACAUGCCAGUCGAACGGCAGCACGGGUGCUUGCACCUGGUGGCGAGUGGCGAACGGGUGAGUAAUACAUCGGAACAUGUCCUGUCGUGGGGGAUAGCCCGGCGAAAGCCGGAUUACUACCGCCUACGAUCUACGGCUGAAAGCGGGGGACCUUCGGGCCUCGCGCUAUAGGGUUGGCCGAUGGCUGAUUAGCUAGUUGGUGGGGUAAAGGCCUACCAAGGCGACGAUCAGUAGCUGGUCUGAGAGGACGACCAGACACACUGGGACUGAGACACGGCCCAGACUCCUACGGGAGGCAGCAGUGGGGAAUUUUGGACAAUGGGCGAAAGCCUGAUCCAGCAAUGCCGCGUGUGUGAAGAAGGCCUUCGGGUUGGAAAGCACUUUUGUCCGGAAAGAAAUCCUUGGCCCUAAUACGGGCGGGGGAUGACGGUACCGGAAGAAUAAGCACCGGCUAACUACGUG
This 486-nucleotide ribosomal RNA is filed under the name uncultured bacterium. RNAcentral describes it as "partial 16S ribosomal RNA". It matches the Rfam family "Bacterial small subunit ribosomal RNA", at positions 29 to 507 of the family's 1533-position model. The record is from RNAcentral.